UACGUAAGGGGCAAGCGUUAUCCGGAUUUACUGGGUGUAAAGGGAGCGUAGACGGCAGUGCAAGUCUGAAGUGAAAGGCAAGGGCUCAACCCUUGGACUGCUUUGGAAACUGUGCUGCUGGAGUGUCGGAGAGGCAAGUGGAAUUCCUAGUGUAGCGGUGAAAUGCGUAGAUAUUAGGAGGAACACCAGUGGCGAAGGCGGCUUGCUGGACGAUGACUGACGUUGAGGCUCGAAAGCGUGGGGAGCAAACAGG
This 253-nucleotide ribosomal RNA is filed under the name uncultured bacterium. RNAcentral describes it as "partial 16S ribosomal RNA". It matches the Rfam family "Bacterial small subunit ribosomal RNA", at positions 524 to 776 of the family's 1533-position model. The record is from RNAcentral.